RNAcentral lists this long non-coding RNA (677 nucleotides) under Triticum aestivum (bread wheat). RNAcentral's name for it is "long non-coding RNA (TAES_LNC025828)". The record is from RNAcentral. Lineage: Eukaryota; Viridiplantae; Streptophyta; Magnoliopsida; Poales; Poaceae.
CACACUAAAUGGUGCCGUGGAGCAGAUGUACACUGAGAUGGCCUCUCGCCACCGUGUGAGAUCCCCCUGCAUUCAGAUCAUCAAGACCGCGACUGUCAACUUCAAGCUAUGCAAGAGAGACAACACCAAGCAGUUCCACAACUCCAAGAUCAAGUUCCCCCUUGUGUACCAAAAGGUCAGGCCACCAACCAGGAAGCUGAAGACCACCUACAAGGCAACGAGGCCGAACUUGUUCAUGUGAUUGGGCUGUGGUGGAUGCUGUUAAGAGUUGAAAUGUUUUCUUCGUAUGUUGGAUCUUCUGAUGCAUGAAGACAAGCGUUUUGUUGCUUAUUUAUCGGUUAAAGACAUGGUUGGUGGACCUUCUGAUUGUGUUCUUAUCAGUAAUCUGCAUACAAUCUAUUGGUACCUGAUAUAGAUAUCUGUUUGAAGUCUGUUCUGUUUUCGUGUCUAGUUUCUCUUACGAUCGCCCAUGCUGAUUUUGAAAUAAAAUCAUGUCACUGGUAACAGUGCUUAACUUGAUAUUGAAAUAAAAUCAUGUCACUAUGGUAACAGCGCUUAACUGUAACUCUUCCAUCUUUACCGCUCUGUUUUUCCUUUUUCCUUGAUUUUUGUUCUCUCCGGCUUUCAGCUAAUUUUUCACUACAGUUAAUUUUGUGAACCUUUAAUUGAAGAUGAAC